GUAGAAGUGCUUCAGUUGGUGCAAGAGUUAAAAUGCAUCACUGAAUUUUGGAGUAAAAUCUCUUUGCCCAUGAAUGUUGACGUUGAAAAUUGCAUGCAAUCGUUUCUCUCUUAAGACUUUUCUCCUCCCUUCAACAAGUAGCACUGUUAACAAGUACAAAUUUACUUAAUUUCAGUUUUCAAUUUAUAGGCUUCGUUCAAAUUAGCUUGUCAUCUGUGAUCUCUUUUCAAUCACAAGAACUCUUACGUUGGUUGAUCAGGGUUCACACAUGGGUGAAUCUGGUGCAAAGUGACAAAGGUAUUGGUCAUCAUUAAAUAAGGAUCAUCGAAAGGGAAGGUUAGGUAGGGAGAGUUGACUAGACAAUUCAUCUAUAGAUGUUCAAAAUAUUGAUCAAUUAUAGUUGUAAGAAUUUAUAAGGCUUAGAAGAUGAGGCUUAGCUUAGUCUAAAUUUCCUAAUCAACAUAUUGUUAUUCCCUUCUAGUGGCCCAUUAACUCACAUAUGAUUACGGGUUAAGACUUGAAACAACAUUUGAAAUGGCUUACCUUGUGUAAUGUCGGUGAGCUGAGAUUCCUAGAUCCACUUCUGGCCAAAGGAAAUGGUGGUCUUGCAAGUUGACCUAGCAGCUUAAAUCCCGCUCUAGAUUGAGAUAAACUAAGGACCUGGCACUCUCUCUGUCCUUUUAGGCCAACACUACCCUUGUAGCUAAAACUAAGUGCUCAGUACAAGUGGUGAUACUGUGAUCACAGUUUUUGACCUGCCUCAUUUCAGAUUUCAUAUAAGUCUAGCCUGCUAAGAAGACAGAAGACAGUG
This 811-nucleotide long non-coding RNA is filed under the name Phaseolus vulgaris (common bean). Its description in RNAcentral is "long non-coding RNA (PVUL_LNC003900)". Lineage: Eukaryota; Viridiplantae; Streptophyta; Magnoliopsida; Fabales; Fabaceae. The record is from RNAcentral.